CCCCUCUCAGGAUCCAACUUGGAGAGUUUCCAGUACUCUACCAGUCUCAACCAAGAGAGGGAGAAUCAAGCAGAGGGAUACCUAUUCCAUUCUUAGCUUCGGCAGUGGCUAGUGAGUGGGAGACAAUCUGCUACAAGU
Molecule: small nucleolar RNA, 138 nt
Organism: Tachyglossus aculeatus (Australian echidna)
Lineage: Eukaryota; Metazoa; Chordata; Mammalia; Monotremata; Tachyglossidae
Source: RefSeq, a predicted model, not a curated record